This is a non-coding RNA of Labrenzia sp. VG12, 52 nucleotides long. NCBI's taxonomy places the organism in Bacteria, Pseudomonadati, Pseudomonadota, Alphaproteobacteria, Hyphomicrobiales, Stappiaceae. The record is from Rfam.
GCGCCCGGAGGUCACCACCCGACAGCGCGAUGCGCCCUCGGGUGCCAAACUG